CUGAGGACGAUGACUUACAAGGGCUCGCUGCUGCUUUGCUUCCUCCUCGUUCUCGUCUCCUUCUCUCUUAUCCAGGCCAAAGCAACCAAAGAAAGUUUGAAGGAAGUUACUCACAAAGUCUACUUUGAUGUUGAGAUUGAUGGGAAGCCUGCAGGUCGUAUUGUGAUGGGUCUAUUCGGCAAAACUGUGCCUAAAACAGCAGAAAAUUUCCGAGCACUUUGUACAGGUGAGAAAGGUGUCGGAAAAAGUGGCAAACCUCUUCACUACAAGGGGAGCACAUUCCAUAGAAUCAUUCCCAGCUUUAUGCUCCAGGGUGGCGAUUUCACUCUUGGUGAUGGAAGGGGAGGAGAGUCGAUAUACGGUACCAAAUUUGAGGACGAGAACUUCAAGCUCAAGCACACAGGGCCAGGAUUUCUCUCGAUGGCAAACGCUGGUCGAGAUACCAAUGGUUCACAGUUUUUCAUCACCACAGUAACCACUAGCUGGCUGGACGGCAAACACGUGGUAUUUGGAAAGGUGAUAUCUGGAAUGGAUGUAGUUUAUAAGGUUGAAGCCGAGGGGCGACAGAGCGGAACACCUAAAAGCAAGGUCGUCAUUGCCGAUAGCGGGGAGCUGCCUCUGUGAUUGUAACCAUUCCUAGCUUGCUUUUGGAUCCGAUCCGAGCUAUGUCCUCGAAGGACCUUUCUUGUUGCUACUCCCUCUACUCUUAAUCUAACUAUGAUUGUAACCAUUCCCUUGCGGAACUUGCACUCCCUAGAAAUAUUUUUCUAUGCUUUUUAUGCAAUGCAG
RNAcentral lists this unclassified non-coding RNA (789 nucleotides) under Hevea brasiliensis (rubber tree). Lineage: Eukaryota; Viridiplantae; Streptophyta; Magnoliopsida; Malpighiales; Euphorbiaceae. The record is from RNAcentral.